GCCUGGGUGGUGGAAUUGGUAUACACAAGGGACUUAAAAUCCCUCGGCCGCAAGGCCUUGCGAGUCCGAGUCUCGCCCCAGGCACAA
Molecule: transfer RNA, 87 nt
Filed under: Patescibacteria group bacterium
Lineage: Bacteria
Description: tRNA-Leu
Source: RNAcentral